CCCGGCCCACACGCGCUGGCGCCGCUUCUGCAGAGCAGCCAAAAAAAGCCGCGGGCGAGGGUCCAGGUCCCCCCGCGCCGGGCCCCACCCCAGCUCCGGGGCAGCUGGGCCCCGACCCCAGCAGGCCGCCAGGCUGAGUCACCCUCCCGGAUCCAGUCCUAAUUCCGAGGUGGAACAUUCCCCGGGGCUGAGGUCAGGCGGCCAGGCCUGGGGACAGGUCUCGGGUCACCGCGCCCCAAGGGCGUGGCGUGGGCGGAGGCGCACCGGGCGGCACGGGGGUGCGCUAGCCUCGGGAGAAGGCCUUCCAGGUGGACUGGACAUCUGUGGGAGCCCUGCGCCCCGGCCCUGCGCCCCGGCCCUGCGCUCCGGCCUCCGCGGCCUCCCCAGCGCUGUGCCUUUAAACCCCGCCCGGGUCUAAAUCGGCCCCGCUGCUAAUCCCGACCUGGGUUGAUCCGCCGGCGCGGCCCCCGCCCUCGGGAAUGCGCCAGGUGAGCUCCGCCCUCGGUCUCCGAGCCCAGCCUCCAGCCUCGCGGGGAGUUUUUAGCCCCCUAAGCCCUGGCCUGCAACUGCUCUCAAAUUCCUGGCGGCCCCCGCUGGCCUGGGGGAGGCCGAGGCCGCAGCUGUGCCCGCUGGGCCGGUUCCAUUUUUAUUUCGGCCGGGCCUGCCUGCUCUCCCGCGUCUUCCUCUAGGUGGCAGGGGACUGGACCUGGUCUGCAGUGACCGGUGCCUGCUCGGCCUCUUCCACCCACGUCCUCUCUGCUGCCCGGGAGCCUCGCCAAGGGAGGCGCCACCCUUGUGAGGCAGCCCUGUCUGCCCAGGUCCGCCACUCAGCCCUGGGAGGUCACUAUCAUUGCCCAGGGGUCCAGCCUGCACCUCCUGGGCUCCCCAGGCCCAGCUCCCCAGGACCGGCCUCUCCCCUGGGUGUGAUCCUGCCCAGCUGCAGGCUCAGAAUCCUCUCCUGGUACUGAGGCAGAGACCACUCUCCCAGCCCUGUGCACAAGCAGAACUUGGUCUGCCCAGUGGAAUAGCAUACAGCCAUGCAAAGGAGUGAGGCUGCACCUGCCACAAUGUGGAUGCACCUUGGGGACGUGGUGCUCGGCCCCCCAGCCUCCCCUGCCUGCCCGACCGUCACCCUGGGCCUCUGUUCCCGCUGGCCCUGUGCCCGGAGCUCCUCUGCACGUGUCCACUCUGCUCCCGGCCUCUCACCCCAGCCGUGUCUCAGCCACGCAUGUGCGCAACACACACACAAGUGCAUGCAUAACGGGGGCACAUCUCCUUGCCAUGUCCUGCCUCCUCAUCACAGAAGGAGUCCUGCAAAGGGGCAGAUGCGCAGCUGGACAGAGGGACAGAAACCAGAGCCACGCCCGGUAUUCAUAGUGGACCAAUGCUGCACGUCCACCUCGACAGACGCAGGACGAGUCUCUGACGCACAGAACUCCAAAACCCGUUCGUGAUGAGACGCGACAGACUCCAGAGGGGAAAGACUUGCUGGGACAGGUCCUCGCCAAGCAGAGCCAGCGUCCAGGCACUCCCUCCCUGGUGACCUCGGGUGCCCAGGGAGAGUCUCCCCCGCUGCAGGAGGAGCCAGGGAGGCCCUGCCACCGACCCACAGCUCCACUGACCGUGACUCCUCUCCCACGGCCACCCAGGAGACCGUGACUCCGUGUCUCUGACUGUCCCAGACGUGGGACAAGGGAAUUGGGUCCUGACUUCCUUUCUCUUUGUCACUUCAGGAACUGAUCACACAGAGCCAGGCACCACGGUGCACGCCUGUCAUCCCAGCGGCUCUGGAGGCUGAGGCAGGAGGAUGGAGUGUUGGAGGCCAGCCUCAGCAACUUAGUGAGGCUCUAGGCAACUUGGGGAAACCCUGUCUCUAAAUGAAAACAUAAAGAGGGCUGGGCCGUGGCUCAGGGGUGCAGCACCCGGGGGGGUCAGGCCCCAGCACCAACUCGGCCACCACGUCACCUGUUGUGCAGGACACAGCUCCUUCCCCGCGGGUGUGCGUCCUUUCUACAAAGUCCUGACGCUCCCCGUCCUCUCUGCCCUUCAGAGGCACCUUGUCCUUGCCGCUGUGGCAGUGGACGGUCCCUCUGCGUGGCCGUCCACCCUGCGUCUGUCUCCCACUGGCCACGCUCUCCUUCCUGGCACUCGGGGUGUUGGAAAGCUCGGGACCCCGGCUCAGCCCAGGAUCACGUUACUGAACGAGCCCAGCUCUCGGGGGUCCGAGGGGCGUGGAUCUGGUGGGUGGGGAGGGCGAGGGCCGGUGACCCCUGCCUCCCUGCUUUUCCUCACAUGCUGUCCGUCUG
Molecule: long non-coding RNA, 2306 nt
Organism: Sciurus carolinensis (gray squirrel)
Lineage: Eukaryota; Metazoa; Chordata; Mammalia; Rodentia; Sciuridae
Exons: 3
Source: RefSeq, a predicted model, not a curated record